RNAcentral lists this transfer RNA (67 nucleotides) under Marmota monax (woodchuck). RNAcentral describes it as "tRNA.Val". Lineage: Eukaryota; Metazoa; Chordata; Mammalia; Rodentia; Sciuridae. The record is from RNAcentral.
GGUUGUGGCUCAGUGGUAGAGUGCUCAUCUCACAUGUGUAAGGCACUGGGUUCGAUCCUUAGCACCA